CAAACUACUAUGAGAGGGAGGCUACAUCUUCGCAGGUAUGUACGUGCAAAAUAUAUAUUUGUGCAAGCUUGUGUAUGUGCUGUUUUUGCUUUUUGAAACUCAAAUUUAUGUGUGCCCAAGCUCAUGUGCUGUUUUGGUACCCAAAUGUCAAAUAUAUGUUUGUGCAAGCUCAUGUGUGUGCUCUUUUUGGUAUCCAAAUGUCAAAUAUAUUUUAGUGCAAGCUCAUGUGUGUUGCUGUUUUUGCUAUCCAAAAGUCAAAUAUAUGUGUGUCCAAGCUCAUGUGUGUGCUGUUUUUGCUAUCCAUAAGUCAAAUAUAUGUGUGUCCAAGCUCAUGUGUGUUGUCUUUGUGUGCUAGGCAAUGAAGCAUGAUAAGCAAGCGGAGGAGGAUCAUGAAGAGGUGGAAGAGGACGAGGAGGAGGACGAGGAAGAGCAAGAUACUUUGUUUGAGGUGCCGCCUGGGGUUGGUGACAAAUCAGAUUCAGAUGGGUUUGUGGAUAGUGAAGAAGAAGCCUUCGAAGGUGAUAAGCAAGUGAAGAAGAAGCCUUCGAAGGUGAU
RNAcentral lists this long non-coding RNA (555 nucleotides) under Triticum aestivum (bread wheat). RNAcentral's name for it is "long non-coding RNA (TAES_LNC006839)". Lineage: Eukaryota; Viridiplantae; Streptophyta; Magnoliopsida; Poales; Poaceae. The record is from RNAcentral.